This 253-nucleotide ribosomal RNA is filed under the name uncultured Lysobacteraceae bacterium. RNAcentral describes it as "uncultured Xanthomonadaceae bacterium partial 16S ribosomal RNA". It matches the Rfam family "Bacterial small subunit ribosomal RNA", at positions 524 to 776 of the family's 1533-position model. The record is from RNAcentral. Lineage: Bacteria; Pseudomonadati; Pseudomonadota; Gammaproteobacteria; Lysobacterales; Lysobacteraceae.
UACGAAGGGUGCAAGCGUUACUCGGAAUUACUGGGCGUAAAGCGUGCGUAGGUGGUUUGUUAAGUCCGCUGUGAAAGCCCUGGGCUCAACCUGGGAAUGGCAGUGGAUACUGGCGAGCUAGAGUGCGGUAGAGGGUAGUGGAAUUCCCGGUGUAGCAGUGAAAUGCGUAGAGAUCGGGAGGAACACCAGUGGCGAAGGCGGCUACCUGGACCAGCACUGACACUGAGGCACGAAAGCGUGGGGAGCAAACAGG